Molecule: ribosomal RNA, 451 nt
Filed under: uncultured bacterium
Lineage: Bacteria
Description: bacterial SSU rRNA
Rfam family: Bacterial small subunit ribosomal RNA
Source: RNAcentral
GUCGAGAAUCUUUUGCAAUGCCCGAAAGGGUGACAAUGCGACGCCGCGUGUGCGAUGAAGGUCUUCGGAUUGUAAAGCACUGUCAGUCGGGAGGAAGACAGAGCCCCUAAUACGGGUUUCUGUUUGACAGUACCGGCAGAGGAAGCCACGGCUAACUCCGUGCCAGCAGCCGCGGUAAUACGGAGGUGGCAAGCGUUACUCGGAUUGAUUGGGUGUAAAGGGUGCGUAGGUGGUGGGCCAAGUCGAAUGUGAAAGCCCUCGGCUUAACCGAGGAACUGCAUUCGAUACUAGCUCGCUAGAGCGACGGAGAGGAAAGCGGAAUUCCCGGUGUAACGGUGAAAUGUGUAGAUAUCGGGAGGAACACCAGUGGCGAAGGCGGCUUUCUGGACGUCUGCUGACACUGAGGCACGAGAGCUAGGGGAGCAAACAGGAUUAGAUACCCCGGUAGUCC